This is a long non-coding RNA of Myotis myotis, 449 nucleotides long. RefSeq lists it as uncharacterized. The transcript has 2 exons. NCBI's taxonomy places the organism in Eukaryota, Metazoa, Chordata, Mammalia, Chiroptera, Vespertilionidae. The record is from RefSeq and is a predicted model, not a curated record.
AGGUGAUGGAUUGACAGCAUAAAAGAGGAAAUUAAGUCAAUUCUAAGAAAACUAAAAGUGGGUCACUAAAGAAAAAGAGGAUUCUUGAAGAAUAUAAUCUGAUAUAUGUAAGGUCUGAGGCUGGGAAAAUAGGGACUUUCCCGAUCCCACUCACUGAGUUGGACAAUAGCGGUCCCCUGGACCUACCAGAACUACCAAUUCACAGCUGUGUUAACAUCCUGCUGGACAAUAACGGCCACCCAGGACUUCUCAGAAUGGCCAUGGUGUAGCUGUACAAACUUCCCGCUCAAAAAAUCAUCUGCCACAAGCGACCAUGAACAAACCUGAUUGGUCCAACAGCAGCAUAAAGAAACUCUGCCAGGCAUAGGCGGUGUGACUCCCCCAGCCUGUGCUCUCGGACCACAGGACCUCACCCGAAAGCUUUCAAUAAACGCGAUUUUUCACUCUUA